RNAcentral lists this ribosomal RNA (1179 nucleotides) under Fructobacillus pseudoficulneus. Its description in RNAcentral is "bacterial SSU rRNA". It matches the Rfam family "Bacterial small subunit ribosomal RNA", at positions 243 to 1414 of the family's 1533-position model. The record is from RNAcentral. Lineage: Bacteria; Bacillati; Bacillota; Bacilli; Lactobacillales; Lactobacillaceae.
AGUUAGUUGGUGGGGUAAAGGCUCACCAAGACGAUGAUGCAUAGCCGAGUUGAGAGACUGACCGGCCACAUUGGGACUGAGACACGGCCCAAACUCCUACGGGAGGCUGCAGUAGGGAAUCUUCCACAAUGGGCGCAAGCCUGAUGGAGCAACGCCGCGUGUGUGAUGAAGGCUUUCGGGUCGUAAAGCACUGUUGUAUGGGAAGAAUGGUAAGGGUAGGAAAUGAUCUUUACGUGACGGUACCAUACCAGAAAGGGACGGCUAAAUACGUGCCAGCAGCCGCGGUAAUACGUAUGUCCCGAGCGUUAUCCGGAUUUAUUGGGCGUAAAGCGAGCGCAGACGGUUUGAUAAGUCUGAAGUGAAAGCCCACAGCUCAACUGUGGAAGUGCUUUGGAAACUGUCAAACUUGAGUGCAGUAGAGGUAAGUGGAACUCCAUGUGUAGCGGUGGAAUGCGUAGAUAUAUGGAAGAACACCAGUGGCGAAGGCGGCUUACUGGACUGCAACUGACGUUGAGGCUCGAAAGUGUGGGUAGCAAACAGGAUUAGAUACCCUGGUAGUCCACACCGUAAACGAUGAACACUAGGUGUUAGGGGGUUUCCGCCCCUUAGUGCCGAAGCUAACGCAUUAAGUGUUCCGCCUGGGGAGUACGACCGCAAGGUUGAAACUCAAAGGAAUUGACGGGGACCCGCACAAGCGGUGGAGCAUGUGGUUUAAUUCGAAGCAACGCGAAGAACCUUACCAGGUCUUGACAUCCUUUGAAGGUACAAGAGAUUGUGCUGUUUUCUUCGGAAACAAAGUGACAGGUGGUGCAUGGCCGUCGUCAGCUCGUGUCGUGAGAUGUUGGGUUAAGUCCCGCAACGAGCGCAACCCUUAUGUUUAGUUGCCAGCAUUCAGUUGGGCACUCUAGACAGACUGCCGGUGACAAACCGGAGGAAGGCGGGGACGACGUCAGGUCAUCAUGCCCCUUAUGACCUGGGCUACACACGUGCUACAAUGGCGUAUACAACGAGCAGCGAACUCGCGAGGGUAAGCGAAUCUCUUAAAGUACGUCUCAGUUCGGAUUGUAGUCUGCAACUCGACUACAUGAAGUCGGAAUCGCUAGUAAUCGCGGAUCAGCAUGCCGCGGUGAAUACGUUCCCGGGUCUUGUACACACCGCCCGUCACACCAUGGGAGUUUG